AUGUUGGCUGAAUUUGACCCAGUUAUAAAAGAGCAUGUUGACCGCAUCAUGAAUGAUAAAAUUCGUGAUCAUUAUCUUGGCCCCUCCAUACAGAAUGAGUUAAUCAAUUUGCUCGCUGCCGCAAUCAAGUUGAAAAUCAUUGAGAAGGUAAAAGAAGCAAAGUACUUCUCAGUUAUACUUGACUGUACUCCUGAUGCAAGCCACCAAGAACAAAUGUCUUUGAUAAUUAGGUAUGUUGAUGCAUCUCCAGAUUCUUUUUGCAUUGAAGAAUCCUUCUUAGGUUUUUUGGAUGUGAAUGAUACCACCGGGCAAGGAGUGUUUGAUGUUUUACAGAAGGAAUUGAAGAGUCUUGACCUUGAUGUGGACAAUGUGAGAGGUCAGGGAUAUGAUAAUGGGUCGAAUAUGAAAGGAAAAAAUAAAGGAGUGCAAAACAAAGUAUUGGAAAUAAACCGAAGAGCCUUUUAUUCAGCUUGUGGUUGCCAUAGUCUGAAUUUGGCACUAUGUGAUAUGGCAAAGUCUUGUCGUAAAGCAACAGAUUUUUUUGGAGUUAUCCAGCGUAUCUAUACAAUAUUUGCUAAUUCUACUAAGAGAUGGCAAAUUCUCAAAGAUAACAUACUAGGAUUGACUCUCAAGUCAUUAUCAUCUACUCGUUGGGAGAGUCGUGUUGAUAGUGUUCAGGCUAUAAGGUUUCAACUACCGGAAUUAAGGGAGGCCUUAUUGCAAGUGGCUGAAAGUGAUAAAGAUACUUCGACACAAAGUGAAGCUCAAUCAUUGGUGGAGAAUGAACUUGGUGGCUUUGAUUUUUUAGUAUCAAUCAUCAUCUGGUAUGAAAUAUUAUCCGCUGUUAAUUUGAUUAGCAAAGAGUUACAGUCAAAGGAUAUGCUUAUUGAUAUUGCAAUUGAAUCUGUAAAAGGCUUGCUUUCCUUUUUCAAAAAGUAUAGAGAAACCGGCUUUUCAAAAGCAUUGGAAGUUGCCAAAAAAUUUGCAGUGGAGAUGGAUAUUCAUCCAGAGUUCCGCACCAAGCGUAAAAUCAAAAGGAAAAAACAAUUUGAUGAGGGUGAAGAUGAUGCAUCUAUCGACUCACAAUCUGCAGAGGAGUCAUUUAGGAUCAAUUAUUUUAUACGUGUUGUUGAUCAAGCUAUAACUUCACUUACCAUUAGAUUUGAACAAUAUGAGGGGUAUGAAAAGAUAUUUGGUUUCUUGUUUACUUCAGAUAGGCUGCGAUCACUAGAUGACAAGAGUUUGAUGGCUGCUUGUGUUAAUCUUGAAGGUGCACUUAAGAGUGGAGAACAUACAGAUAUUGAUGGACUUGAAUUGUGUUGUGAGCUAAUUUUCAUCCAGGAUUUACUACAUAAAUCAAUGGGUCCUCUUGACAUUCUGAAUUAUUUGAAGAAGCGCUCCACAAUCUAUCCUAAUGCUGUUAUUGCAUAA
RNAcentral lists this ribosomal RNA (1431 nucleotides) under Triticum aestivum (bread wheat). RNAcentral describes it as "partial small subunit ribosomal RNA". The record is from RNAcentral. Lineage: Eukaryota; Viridiplantae; Streptophyta; Magnoliopsida; Poales; Poaceae.